This 254-nucleotide ribosomal RNA is filed under the name uncultured bacterium. Its description in RNAcentral is "partial 16S ribosomal RNA". It matches the Rfam family "Bacterial small subunit ribosomal RNA", at positions 524 to 776 of the family's 1533-position model. The record is from RNAcentral.
UACGGGGGGAGCAAGCGUUGUUCGGAUUUACUGGGCGUAAAGGGCGCGUAGGCGGUCAGCACAAGUCAGUUGUGAAAUCUCCGAGCUUAACUCGGAAAGGUCAACUGAUACUGUGCGACUAGAGUGCAGAAGGGGCAACUGGAAUUCUCGGUGUAGCGGUGAAAUGCGUAGAUAUCAGGAGGAACACCCGUGGUGUAGACGGCUUGCUGGACGGUCACUGACGCUGAGGCACGAAAGCGUGGGGAGCAAACAGG